UGUGUGACUGCUCUCAAGACGUGUACACCAUGGGACUGUGCUUACUGGUGAAGCCAAGGAUGUAGAUGUGACCAAGAGGUGAAUGAUGUCAAAAACUGACCAGAAGCCAAGGAACAUAGUGAGAUCAGUCCAGCAUCCUACAAGAGACUGUUCAUUGAGUCUACAGAGUUACAUCGGGCUUAUCAUCCAGCAAUGACUUUUAAAAGUGGAGAUAUGGAUAUGGAGAGAUGACUUUGUGAGCAGGUGCUUGCCAUGGUGGUACUGACUUUGCGGGGACAGUGGACUCACUGCUUCUUAUAUCAGCUGAGGUGGUCAUACUAUUCAUAUGAAGUCCUAUGCAUUUUGGA
Long non-coding RNA from Melopsittacus undulatus (budgerigar), 347 nucleotides. RefSeq lists it as uncharacterized. The record is from RefSeq and is a predicted model, not a curated record. The transcript is spliced from 3 exons. NCBI's taxonomy places the organism in Eukaryota, Metazoa, Chordata, Aves, Psittaciformes, Psittaculidae.